CACGUGUGCAACCAACCCCGUACCGGGAGAUAACCCGCGGAAACGUGGACUAACAUCCCAUGAUACUCGAGGGCCGCAUGGCUCUCGAUUUAAAAUUCCGGUGGUACGGGACGGGCACGCGCGACAUUAGGUAGUUGGCGGGGUAACGGCCCACCAAGCCGACGAUGUCUAGGAGUUCUGAGAGGAAGGUCCCCCACACUGGAACUGAGACACGGUCCAGACUCCUACGGGAGGCAGCAGUGAGGAAUAUUGGUCAAUGGGCGAGAGCCUGAACCAGCCAAGUCGCGUGAGGGAAGAAUGGUCUAUGGCCUGUAAACCUCUUUUGUCAGGGAAGAAUAAGGAUGACGAGUCAUUCGAUGCCAGUACUUGACGAAUAAGCAUCGGCUAACUCCGUGCCAGCAGCCGCGGUAAUACGGGGGAUGCGAGCGUUAUCCGGAUUUAUUGGGUUUAAAGGGCGCGUAGGCGGGACGUCAAGUCAGCGGUAAAAGACUGCAGCUAAACUGUAGCACGCCGUUGAAACUGGCGCCCUGGAGACGAGACGAGGGAGGCGGAACAAGUGAAGUAGCGGUGAAAUGCAUAGAUAUCACUUGGAACCCCGAUAGCGAAGGCAGCUUCCCAGGCUCGUUCUGACGCUGAUGCGCGAGAGCGUGGGUAGCGAACAGGAUUAGAUACCCUGGUAGUCCACGCCGUAAACGAUGCUCACUGGAUCUUGGCGAUACACUGCCAGGGUUCAAGCGAAAGUAUUAAGUGAGCCACCUGGGGAGUACGUCGGCAACGAUGAAACUCAAAGGAAUUGACGGGGGCCCGCACAAGCGGAGGAACAUGUGGUUUAAUUCGAUGAUACGCGAGGAACCUUACCCGGGUUUAAAUGUAGAUUGCAUGAGGUGGAAACGCUUCUUCCCUUCGGGGCUAUUUACAAGGUGCUGCAUGGUUGUCGUCAGCUCGUGCCGUGAGGUGUCGGGUUAAGUCCCAUAACGAGCGCAACCCCUAUCGCCAGUUGCCAUCGGUUCAAGCCGGGCACUCUGUCGAGACUGCCACCGUAAGGUGCGAGGAAGGCGGGGAUGACGUCAAAUCAGCACGGCCCUUACACCCGGGGCGACACACGUGUUACAAUGGCCGGUACAGAGGGCAGCCACGGGGUGACCCGGAGCGAAUCUCUAAAGCCGGUCGUAGUUCGGACUGGAGUCUGCAACCCGACUCCACGAAGUUGGAUUCGCUAGUAAUCGCGCAUCAGC
This 1235-nucleotide ribosomal RNA is filed under the name metagenome. RNAcentral describes it as "bacterial SSU rRNA". It matches the Rfam family "Bacterial small subunit ribosomal RNA", at positions 114 to 1353 of the family's 1533-position model. The record is from RNAcentral.